Chlorocebus sabaeus (green monkey) is the source of this 1084-nucleotide long non-coding RNA. RefSeq lists it as uncharacterized. NCBI's taxonomy places the organism in Eukaryota, Metazoa, Chordata, Mammalia, Primates, Cercopithecidae. The record is from RefSeq and is a predicted model, not a curated record.
CCAGUGUGUUUCGAGGGGGGAGACAGCAUGCAGGGAGGGAGCAGGUGGACGUGGGCAUCAGGAACCCAACCCAAGCCAACCGCCCCCACUCCUACCCCAGCCUCCUGCCGCCCUCUCCAAGGAGUCUGGGUUUAAUUUUCUGGUCAGUGUGAAAAGGAGGAGGAAGAGGAUGAGGAGGAGAAGAAAGGAGGGAGUUAAAGUUCUAAUGCAGUCGGCUGGGAUCUGUCACUCAGCGUACAGCUCGCUGACGACUCAGGGCAGCUUCAGCUGUAAGCAGCCCGUGAUUUAUGGACACCGAGUGAACUCCUGCGGCAGAAACCAGCCUUGAGAUCAGAGCAGCAAUAGGGCCCUUUUUUGGCAGGAGACAGGGCCUGCAUUUUUCUCAUUCAUGCCAAACUGCUUUGCACGGCAAUUAGCUCUGUCCUCAUUUAGUCUCCAGUCCCAAAGGGUAAUGAAAGUCAUAUAUCAUCUUCAGGACUGCUAAUUAUUGAGCUCGCUUACAGGUGUGGAGUGUAUAAGGCUAAUACCAGAAACGGUUUCGUCUGGGCCCUUUGCCUUCAAGUUGAUGGUCUCACCACCGAGUGGACGUAGUGUCUGGAUUAUAGUCUGCACCAGCGAUUUCCAUGAGUGUGGUUAACUAAGGGGAAGACAGACCAGACAUCAGAUCUCAGUCAGAUAAAUCCAUCUGAAACGAAAGGGGCCGAGGCCGAGGCUGGCACAAAGAAAAGGAUUCCUUGCCAAAGUCACACAGGAAGACACUCCGAAAGACCUCCCCCAAAGAAGAGGGCGGACAGGGUUCCUCUGGAGUUCCCUUUCCCUAAGGGCUUGGCGUUCAACUUUUGAUCCUAGUUCCACAUGAGGUUUCAUAUAAGUGAUUGUAUUAUUAUUAUUUUUUUGCAUGGGUGAAAAGCCACAAAUUAUUAACUCUGAAUUUCAAAGACUGCAUUCUUCUCACUCAGGGGUGGCAUCUCUUCACUGUUCAGGCACGGGCGGCCUCACAGAACGGACGUGGCCCAGACCUCACUUGACCUCUGAGAGGCCCUGAAGGCAGUUGCCCAAGGGCAGGGGCAGGGGGCAGGGCAGA